CCUACGGGGUGUAGCAGUGGGGAAUCUUGCGCAAUGGGCGGAAGCCUGACGCAGCAACGCCGCGUGCGGGAUGAAGGCCUUCGGGUUGUAAACCGCUUUCAGUGGGGACGAAUUCAGACGGUACCCACAGAAAAAGCCCCGGCCAACUACGUGCCAGCAGCCGCGGUAACACGUAGGGGGCGAGCGUUGUCCGGAAUCAUUGGGCGUAAAGAGCUCGUAGGCGGCUCAGUAAGUCGGGUGUGAAACCCCUAGGCUCAACCUAGGGACGCCACUCGAUACUGCUGUGGCUAGAGUCCAGUAGGGGAGUGUGGAAUUCCCGGUGUAGCGGUGAAAUGCGCAGAUAUCGGGAGGAACACCAGCGGCGAAGGCGGCACUCUGGGCUGGAACUGACGCUGAGGAGCGAAAGCGUGGGUAGCAAACAGGAUUAGAUACCCGAGUAGUC
This 442-nucleotide ribosomal RNA is filed under the name uncultured bacterium. Its description in RNAcentral is "bacterial SSU rRNA". It matches the Rfam family "Bacterial small subunit ribosomal RNA", at positions 338 to 795 of the family's 1533-position model. The record is from RNAcentral.